AGUGAACGCUGGCGGUAGGCCUAACACAUGCAAGUCGAACGGCAGCACAGUAAGAGCUUGCUCUUACGGGUGGCGAGUGGCGGACGGGUGAGGAAUACAUCGGAAUCUACUUUUUCGUGGGGGAUAACGUAGGGAAACUUACGCUAAUACCGCAUACGACCUACGGGUCAAAGCAGGGGAUCUUCGGACCUUGCGCGAUUGAAUGAGCCGAUGUCGGAUUAGCUAGUUAGCGGGGUAAAGGCCCACCAAGGCGACGAUCCGUAGCUGGUCUGAGAGGAUGAUCAGCCACACUGGAACUGAGACACGGUCCAGACUCCUACGGGAGGCAGCAGUGGGGAAUAUUGGACAAUGGGCGCAAGCCUGAUCCAGCCAUACCGCGUGGGUGAAGAAGGCCUUCGGGUUGUAAAGCCCUUUUGUUGGGAAAGAAAAGCAGCAGGUUAAUACCCCGCUGUUCUGACGGUACCCAAAGAAUAAGCACCGGCUAACUUCGU
Molecule: ribosomal RNA, 491 nt
Filed under: uncultured bacterium
Lineage: Bacteria
Description: partial 16S ribosomal RNA
Rfam family: Bacterial small subunit ribosomal RNA
Source: RNAcentral